GACGAGCUCUCCAAACGUUAUUCGGUAUCACUGGGCUUAAAGAGUUCGUAGGCGGCUUUGUAGGUGGGGUGUGAAAGCCCUCGGCUUAACCGAGGAACUGCGCCCCAAACCACAAGGCUUGAGGGAUAUAGGGGUAAGCGGAACAGAUGGUGGAGCGGUGAAAUGCAUUGAUAUCAUCUGGAACACCGGUGGCGAAGGCGGCUUACUGGAUAUUUUCUGACGCUGAGGAACGAAAGCUAGGGUAGCGAACGGG
RNAcentral lists this ribosomal RNA (253 nucleotides) under uncultured bacterium. RNAcentral describes it as "partial 16S ribosomal RNA". It matches the Rfam family "Bacterial small subunit ribosomal RNA", at positions 524 to 776 of the family's 1533-position model. The record is from RNAcentral.